Molecule: non-coding RNA, 72 nt
Organism: Potamilus streckersoni
Lineage: Eukaryota; Metazoa; Mollusca; Bivalvia; Unionida; Unionidae
Source: the annotation of a GenBank genome assembly
UCCUGUGGCCUAGUUGUUAUAGCGUCUGCCUCAUAUGCGAGAGGUCGUGGGUUUGAACCCCGGUCAAGUCAA